GUCCUCUUCGCUUCCCAAGAUAUUUAGGGAAAAGGGCCUUGUCGGCCACCGCUUGCUGACGAUGGAACGCAUCGUCAAUUAAAAGUCCUCGCGUUGGACAACGUUGGAAAGGUAGGUGUUCGGCAUGUCCCUUGCUUGCGAACUUAUUGUUGAGGGCGGGUAGCUUUGGAGAUCCCAUUCCUCACGUUUACCGUUGUCCCCAGAC
Molecule: unclassified non-coding RNA, 205 nt
Filed under: Hevea brasiliensis (rubber tree)
Lineage: Eukaryota; Viridiplantae; Streptophyta; Magnoliopsida; Malpighiales; Euphorbiaceae
Source: RNAcentral